GGCUGGUCCCAAGGAAGUGAGUUAUCUCACUUGAUUGUUCACAGUCAGUUACAGAUUGAAUUUUUUGUUCUACUACUUUCCCCCCUUCUCACUCACUAUUGCACUGGUGCAAA
RNAcentral lists this Y RNA (113 nucleotides) under Microcebus murinus (gray mouse lemur). RNAcentral describes it as "Y RNA (ENSMICG00000021525.3)". It matches the Rfam family "Y RNA". Rfam says of the family: Y RNAs are components of the Ro ribonucleoprotein particle (Ro RNP), in association with Ro60 and La proteins. Lineage: Eukaryota; Metazoa; Chordata; Mammalia; Primates; Cheirogaleidae. The record is from RNAcentral.